RNAcentral lists this long non-coding RNA (2344 nucleotides) under Solanum tuberosum (potato). RNAcentral describes it as "long non-coding RNA (STUB_LNC005618)". Lineage: Eukaryota; Viridiplantae; Streptophyta; Magnoliopsida; Solanales; Solanaceae. The record is from RNAcentral.
UUCGAGUUGAAAUAGGUGGUAGAGUCGUCUUCUCAACUCGCCGUUUUAGUUCGCUACUCAGCGAAAGGUAAUUCUUUCUUCUUCUAAAUAUAUAUAUUUUUAUUUCAUUGUGUGACAGGAUUAGAUUAGUUUAUUGUAUUUGCUAGAAAUUUGGUUUUUCUUUCCAAUAUCUUAGUAAUUAGUAAAAUAGCUAAUUUUCUUGUUUGUCAUUGAUACUGUUUAACUAAGUCGUUUAAGCUGAUAUCCUUUUUUUUUUAGUCUCAAAUGUCCAGUUCUUUGUUUAUGUUUUCUGUUUACCAUUAAAUUCAUAUUUGUUGAAAAGAGGAUGGUUGCUAGUAUUACUUAAUUCUUGUUUAUGUGAGAUAGCCCUUAUGUUUAGCUUAUCUUGUAUGUUAAAUUGGUCGAUUUGUUUUAGUCAAUAUUCAUAUAAGCAGUAGCUUAGAAUUUCAUUAUGAUAAAUACUUUGAGUUAUAUAUGAUUAGAAUGCAUCUUGUUUACACCUGAUCUUAAUGAUUCUUGUCUCCUGUUCUUUAGCCUUUUCGGUGACCUUGUAGUUCCAUGCUUAGCUUUCUUUAUCACUCAUGUGUCCUAUAUCAAGAAUGCUAUCUGAAAUAUGGAGUUUAGUUUUAUUAGUUUUAAGGUUUUUUUUUUCCCUCUUUGAAACCUGUAUUCGUUGCUGAAAUGCCAUCUAUGUCUGCCUAUUUUGUAAAAUCUGUUGGUGUGAUUUGUCAAAUAACAGACCAUUGGCUCUCAAUGCCAAUCGAGAGCCUAUUUGAGUGAGAAAUUGCUUACCUUUGGGGUUUCUCUUUAGCACUCUCCAAAGAUUUAGGUUGGGAUGGAUGAAAGCUCAUAUCAUAGCUUUUAUACGUCCUAAAAUUUAUUAGAUUACUCUACUUAGAUCCUUGUUUAAAUUCUCUAAGUUAUUUUGGUGCAAAGUUAUUUUAUAUCUCCCUGCUCUUUCUUGUUUGUCUUUUGUAUAUGCUAAAUGAGUUGGCUUAAAACUUUGAUCAAGUUGAGUCUAAAGUUGUUUAUCUUUAAACUAUACUUGAAACUGUUUCGAACUCCUUUUUAGUUUGAUCAAAGGUUGUGUUUAAGUAGGAGUAGGAAACCUCUGUUUAGUUGUUGUCAUAUUUAAGUUGUGGCUGCCUAUUGUUGUUAAUUGCCUCCAUCUUGGACAUGUUAUUUUAUACACUGAUUGUGAAUUGCUUAUGAAAUUAUGUGGCGUUCAAAUAAUUUUGACAUUAUUAUAAAUAUGUUCUCAUGUUCAUUUACUGAUUUUAGGUGCAAAUAUACCAGUCUUUUCUUUACUGUUUGUAGUUAAUCUAACCUCAACUGCCGUAAAUCUUCAAGUGCUACCCUCGAAUGCCCUUAGAUGUUCUUUGCUGUAAUUCUGGUUCAAUAACUCUAGAUAGAGUUCUGCUUGCUUUUGGUAGCUUGUUUUUUCUUCAUUGUUGUGUUUGAAUAUGGCUAUCUGUGUCAUGUCUUAAAUUAAUUCAUGUUGACAUUAGCUUGUUUCCUUAAGCAGUAAGUCCAUAUUUACUUGAUAUAGUUCUUUUCUCUAAUUUAUAUUUGCUUUAUCUUUGUUUUUCUGUGAUUGAUAGUAGUAUAUGGUUAAGUUUGGUAUAAUUUCAGCCAUGAUAAACAUGUCAUUUAGAGUUUUGAGCUUACACGACAUUGUUUGUUUUAAGCUUAAGUUGAUAUCAUCCAAAUGUUGUUAAUCUUUUUCCCUCUUUUUCUUGGCAUGAACUCUCUCGUUUGAGUCCAAUUGGACUCCUCCUCUUGCAUACUCCUCUCCUCGAGUCAACCUCCUUUAAGCCAAUUGAAAGGAGGUUAAUAUUACUAGGAUAAAACCCAAGAGCUAGCCACUACAGCAGCCUUGAAAGGCCGAGAAACGAGAAGCGAAAAUUGGGUUAAAAACCCAAAGUCAGAGGCAGCAACAUUGGCUCAAAAGAGCUGAAAUGAGAGUGUUUUGGGUUCAAAUUGGCCGAAAUUUGAACACCUGAUUCUUGCAGCAGUUUCAGUAGUCUCAAAAGGCUAGAAAUAGCAUUUUUCGGACUUAAAAAAGUUCGGAAAUAGCACCAGCAGCAGCAAAUAAGAAGCAACAAGUGGACUUAAAAUUGUCCAAGUUCUAUUCGCCCUUUCAUUUUCCUUAUAUUGUGAUAAUUGCUUUUAAUUUCUAACAUUUAUUUUGUUAUUUUAGAUGAAUCCUUUGGAGAGAUAUUUUUAUUUUGUUAUUCAAGUUUUCAAAUCCCAAAACCCAUUUUAAGUUAGGUAAUUUAAGCUUAUAGAAUAACUUAAGAACUUUUUUAUGUUCUUUCGUAGUUAUUGAAAAGCUUUGAAUCCA